AACGAACGCUGGCGGCAGGCUUAACACAUGCAAGUUGAACGGGAUUUGCUGAGUGCUUGCACUAUGCAAAGAGAGUAGUGCACUGGUGAGUAACACGUGGGCACAUACCAAAGACGGGUGGAUAACGUUGGGAAAUUGGCGAUAAUACCGCAUACGCCCCGAGGGGGGAAGAUGUAUUGGUCUAAGAUUGACCCGCGCAACAUAAGGUAGUUGGUUAGGUAACGGCUAACCAGACCUACGAUGUUUAGCUGGGCUGAGAGGACGAUCAGCCACACUGGAACUGAGACACGGUCCAGACUCAUACGGGAGGCAGCAGUGAGGAAUAUUGGGCAAUGGGGGCAACCCUGACCCAGCCAUGCCGCGUGAGUGAAGAAGGUUUUCGGAUUGUAAAGCUCUUUCGGGUGAGAAGAUAAUGACGGUAUCACCUAAAGAAGCCCCGGCAAACUUCGUGCCAGCCGCCGCAGUAA
Molecule: ribosomal RNA, 467 nt
Filed under: uncultured bacterium
Lineage: Bacteria
Description: partial 16S ribosomal RNA
Rfam family: Bacterial small subunit ribosomal RNA
Source: RNAcentral